GUUUUUAGUGUCUGUGCUUGUGGUCGGUAACUUUUGCUGCUGUUGUUCUGCUGCUGUCUGCCAUUCCAUUUGCCAUCUAUCACGCACACAGAACCCUGGCCAGGAUCAUGAAAGGCGAUUGAAAAGGUGGCUGUACUUUUGAUGAUGGUCCAGGGGCCUGUGAUUACCACCAGGAUCUGUAUGAUGACUUUGAAUGGGUGCAUGUUAGUGCUCAAGAGCCUCAUUAUCUACCACCCGAGAUGCCCCAAGGUUCCUAUAUGAUAGUGGACUCUUCAGAUCACGACCCUGGAGAAAAAGCCAGACUUCAGCUGCCUACAAUGAAGGAGAACGACACUCACUGCAUUGAUUUCAGUUACCUAUUAUAUAGCCAGAAAGGACUGAAUCCUGGCACUUUGAACAUAUUAGUUAGGGUGAAUAAAGGACCUCUUGCCAAUCCAAUUUGGAAUGUGACUGGAUUCACGGGUAGAGAUUGGCUUCGGGCUGAGCUAGCAGUGAGCACCUUUUGGCCCAAUGAAUAUCAGGUAAUAUUUGAAGCUGAAGUCUCAGGAGGGAGAAGUGGUUAUAUUGCCAUUGAUGACAUCCAAGUACUGAGUUAUCCUUGUGAUAAAUCUCCUCAUUUCCUCCGUCUAGGGGAUGUAGAGGUGAAUGCAGGGCAAAACGCUACAUUUCAGUGCAUUGCCACAGGGAGAGAUGCUGUGCAUAACAAGUUAUGGCUCCAGAGACGAAAUGGAGAAGAUAUACCAGUA
RNAcentral lists this small RNA (746 nucleotides) under Pan troglodytes (chimpanzee). RNAcentral's name for it is "processed transcript". Lineage: Eukaryota; Metazoa; Chordata; Mammalia; Primates; Hominidae. The record is from RNAcentral.